RNAcentral lists this ribosomal RNA (505 nucleotides) under uncultured Comamonadaceae bacterium. RNAcentral's name for it is "bacterial SSU rRNA". It matches the Rfam family "Bacterial small subunit ribosomal RNA", at positions 903 to 1382 of the family's 1533-position model. Lineage: Bacteria; Pseudomonadati; Pseudomonadota; Betaproteobacteria; Burkholderiales; Comamonadaceae. The record is from RNAcentral.
GCGCCUUGCCACGCCCGCUCAGAAACUUAAAGGAAUUGACGGGGACCCGCACAAGCGGUGGAUGAUGUGGAUUAAUUCGAUGCAACGCGAAAACCUUACCUACCCUUGACAUGUACGGAACCCUCCAGAGACGGAGGGGUGCCCGAAAGGGAGCCGUAACACAGGUGCUGCAUGGCUGUCGUCAGCUCGUGUCGUGAGAUGUUGGGUUAAGCCCGCAACGAGCGCAACCCUUGUCAUUAGUUGCUACAUUUAGUUGGGCACUCUAAUGAGACUGCCGGUGACAAACCGGAGGAAGGUGGGGAUGACGUCAAGUCCUCAUGGCCCUUAUAGGUGGGGCUACACACGUCAUACAAUGGCCGGUACAAAGGGCUGCCAACCCGCGAGGGGGAGCUAAUCCCAUAAAACCGGUCGUAGUCCGGAUCGUAGUCUGCAACUCGACUACGUGAAGUCGGAAUCGCUAGUAAUCGUGGAUCAGAAUGUCACGGUGAAUACGUUCCCGGGUCUU